AGCGAACGCUGGCGGCAGGCCUAACACAUGCAAGUCGAACGAACUCUUCGGAGUUAGUGGUGGACGGGUGAGUAACACGUGGGAAGGAGCCUUUUGGCUCGGAAUAACUCAGGGAAACUUGUGCUAAUACAGAAUGUGCUCUUAGGGGAAAGAUAUAUCGCCAUUAGAUCGGGCCGCGUCUGAUUGGCUCGUUGGUGAGGUAACGGCACACCAAGGCGACGAUCAGUAGCUGGUCUGGGAGGAUGACCAGCCACACUUGGACUGCGACACAGCCCAGACUCCUACGCGAGGCUGCAGUAUGGAGUCUUGCGCAAUGGACGAAAGCCUGACGCAGCCAUGCCGCGUGAAUGAUGAAUGUCUUAGUAUUGUAAAAUUCUUUCACCGGGGACGAUAAUGACGGUACCCGGAGAAGAAGCCCCGGCUAACUUCGUG
Molecule: ribosomal RNA, 432 nt
Filed under: uncultured bacterium
Lineage: Bacteria
Description: partial 16S ribosomal RNA
Rfam family: Bacterial small subunit ribosomal RNA
Source: RNAcentral